RNAcentral lists this small RNA (1594 nucleotides) under Drosophila yakuba. Its description in RNAcentral is "GE28594". Lineage: Eukaryota; Metazoa; Arthropoda; Insecta; Diptera; Drosophilidae. The record is from RNAcentral.
UAUCCGUUCAUCUGUCAGUCAGUUUGUUUCGAAAUCGAAAACCCCGAGCACACUUCCCAAAUUCCCACUGCGAAGGGGGUUUGCUCCGUCGAUGUGGAAAUGGAUGACGAUGUGGAUGAGGAUGAGGAUGAGGAUGAGGAUGUGGAUGAGGAUGAGGAUUUUUGACAGGGCAGACGAUGUCGACGAGUGCCAUCAAUCGUUUAGACCACGACGCCGGGCGUCGGCGAUAGCGAUUGCGACAAAUCUGAUAUGAGAUUGGGAUGCGGAUGCGAAUGAGGAUGAGGAUGCGAAUGAGGAUGAGGAUGAGGAUGCGGAUUCAGAUUCAGAUGCGUCCCCGGUCGAGGAUUAUGUGCGUGUAAAGCGCACACCCACAAAAAUGCCACCCCUUCCGCCAGCCAACAGCCAUCAGCCACGAAGUACGAAGUACCAAAAAGACACUUAAAACAGCCGGAAAAAGUUAACAAGGUAUGCAAAAGUAACCAAGGUGCUUGUUCGUAAACGGGAAAUUAUUCCUAGUGGUUAAGGAACAAUCAAAAAAUCGAUUAUAACAGCAGUAACUAGAUUACUUCCACUUGAGGCCCACUUUCAAUCAACCAAAACCAGAAUCAUCUCAGCCAGCAGGAAAAUCUAUUUUCCAGUGCACCUUGACGGAUGUGAAUGGGCCAAGUUUUUUGGCAAGUUUUGGCAACACUUUGAGCCCAUUUGGGUGGCAUUCGUCAAGCUGGAUGCGAUUGUCAUUGCGGUCAGUAGAAGUUGGGGGCAUUUGGGCGCCGGAAUGGAAAAGAGAUUGCCAACUGGCGGAAGCAGUUUGACCAGAGGAUAAUACGCUGCUCGGUCGGAGGGCGAAAAGAGAUCCUCGGCCGAAGGACUAAUCGAAUUAAUUGCUUAGAGCCAGUGAGGCUUAUAACCACCUAAUCAGAUGAGAACCGCAGAUGAGAAUUUAUUCCUGGCCGCAUCGCAAUCUGGUUAUAAUCUCGCGCUGAUUACAAUGCUUGCCGGGUAAGUGAAGUGCGAGAUUGGAUUCCGCCUGGCACCCACUUCACUCUUCACAGGAAGAGCCACCGCCACCCUGCAAGAAAAAAAAUAAAACAAAAAAAGAGAAAAGUUCAAUCAACUGAAAUUUUCUUCAAACUCAAGCCAAUAAUUCACCUGCUUAACUGGCCGCCUCGUGUCCGUUUUGGCCACUGUUUAAUAUUAUAAGUAAUUCACCUUUUUAGACCCGCCCCCGCCCCCUUCCCUCUCCCCCGUGGCAGGUGAAGCCUCCCCGCCCCUGGAAAAAGGGGAUUGGGAAGCGAUUUCGCCGCCUGUUUUGUGAUGUGGAAACGAUGCGCAUAAAAUCAGCGGCGCGUAUGGCAGGAGGAAGCAGGGGCGGCGGUACUGAAAGGGGGGUCUUAAGAGAGGAGAGCGGGGGGGAGGGGAUUUUGGGGAAGGAGCAGGAGCAGGAGGUUGUCGACACCAAAGCAGCCUGGCCGGCAGUCCGGAAGUGUCGUUGUCCGUUUGCCGGUCCUUUGUAUCAAUCAAAACAACGCGAACGGAGGCCCAGCGAAGUGAACGGCCAGCGGGACGGACAAACGGACAAACGGACGGACAGGCG